RNAcentral lists this ribosomal RNA (171 nucleotides) under Parabacteroides distasonis CL09T03C24. RNAcentral's name for it is "partial 23S ribosomal RNA". Lineage: Bacteria; Pseudomonadati; Bacteroidota; Bacteroidia; Bacteroidales; Tannerellaceae. The record is from RNAcentral.
UUCAGAAAUGAUGGAAACGUGGAGGUAUCCUUGGGUAGGGGAUGAGGUUGGCUGGGCCAAGCGAUAAUUUCCAACCGCCCGGAGAUCGACGAGAGAAAAUAAAUCGAGAAUUUUUCACCGAAAAAUUUGGAGAUUAAAGAAAAGUCCUUACCUUUGCAGCCGCAAUCGAGA